Molecule: microRNA precursor, 136 nt
Filed under: Lucilia cuprina (Australian sheep blowfly)
Lineage: Eukaryota; Metazoa; Arthropoda; Insecta; Diptera; Calliphoridae
Description: mir-998 microRNA precursor family
Rfam family: mir-998 microRNA precursor family
Source: Rfam by way of RNAcentral
CAAAUUCAUUUUGGAACUGAACUCUCGUGGGUCUGCAUGGCACAUACCACCAAAAACAAUUAAAUGUUCUUGUUGCGUAUACAUUUUGUAUUUGAAAAUUUGUAGCACCAUGAGAUUCAGCUCUGGCAUGAAUUUC